Molecule: ribosomal RNA, 190 nt
Filed under: Trachelyopterus (Parauchenipterus) sp.
Lineage: Eukaryota; Metazoa; Chordata; Actinopteri; Siluriformes; Auchenipteridae
Description: partial 12S ribosomal RNA
Source: RNAcentral
CAUCCGCCCGGGUACUACGAGCACAGCUUAAAACCCAAAGGACUUGGCGGUGUCUCAGACCCACCUAGAGGAGCCUGUUCUAGAACCGAUAACCCCCGUUAAACCUCACCACUUCUUGUUUUCUCCGCCUAUAUACCGCCGUCGUCAGCUUACCCUGUGAAGGCUCAGCAGUAAGCAAAAGGGGCACACC